This 447-nucleotide long non-coding RNA is filed under the name Marmota monax (woodchuck). The record is from RNAcentral. Lineage: Eukaryota; Metazoa; Chordata; Mammalia; Rodentia; Sciuridae.
GAAACUGUGAGCUGGUUGUUGCAUUCAAACACAAACAAAAUCAAAAACACUGAGGACUUCCACUCAAGCUGGUCUUUCUUCCCCAGUGUGAGGCAAUCCUGCCUAUUAAUAAAAAUUAAAAAAAUUUAAAAAUCACUCCAUCUGUGAAGCUGAUUCAGUCAAAGGGUAGGAUAGGCAGGGCAUUUGUGUCAACUAAGAGAAUCACCAGAUACCCAUCAUAAGUACCUAUCAUAGUUUUGAAGUCGUUUCUCUCCCAACUCCCAUCUCCCAACUCCUGAAGGUUGCUGCCUGCAUAUAUACUCUUCAUUAGUGCUAUUUUCCUGUAUAUCAUUGUGAGCAAGCUGUGAUUAAUAAAGAACUGGAGUUCUGUGAACUAAAAAAAUAAACACAUAAGAAUUUUAAGAAUUACACUGGAAAAAUGGAGAAUUAAACAUACGGCAUACUUUC